AACGAACGCUGGCGGCGCGUCUUAAGCAUGCAAGUCGAACGGCAAGAUUGGUGCUUGUCACCGAUCCUAGAGUGGCGGACUGGUGAGUAACGCGUGGGUGACGUACCCUAAGGAUGGGGAUAGCUGGUAGAAAUAUCAGAUAAUACCGAAUAUCCUUAAUUGUUGUUAGAGGACAGUAAGGAAAGGAGCUUUGGCUUCGCCUAAGGAUCGGCCCGCGUACUAUUAGCUAGUUGGUGAGGUAACGGCUCACCAAGGCGACGAUAGUUAUCCGGCCUAAGAGGGUGAACGGACACAUUGGGACUGAGAUACGGCCCAGACUCCUAUGGGAGGCAGCAGCU
RNAcentral lists this ribosomal RNA (338 nucleotides) under uncultured bacterium. RNAcentral's name for it is "bacterial SSU rRNA". It matches the Rfam family "Bacterial small subunit ribosomal RNA", at positions 29 to 356 of the family's 1533-position model. The record is from RNAcentral.